RNAcentral lists this unclassified non-coding RNA (380 nucleotides) under soil metagenome. RNAcentral describes it as "partial contains 5.8S ribosomal RNA, internal transcribed spacer 2, and large subunit ribosomal RNA". The stretch from base 1 to 120 matches the Rfam family "5.8S ribosomal RNA", at positions 35 to 154 of the family's 154-position model. The record is from RNAcentral.
GAUGAAGAACGUAGCGAAAUGCGAUAAGUAAUGUGAAUUGCAGAAUUCAGUGAAUCAUCGAAUCUUUGAACGCACCUUGCACCCUUUGGCAUUCUGAAGGGUAUGCUCGUUUGAGUGUCAUUGUACUCUCACACUCCCGAUCUUUGCAUUGGGAGCAGUGGACUUGGGUUUGCUGCUUCACCGUCGCUUACCUCAAAUAGGUUAGUGCAACUCUUGGUUGGACAUAGUACGGCGUGAUAAGUGUUCUUCGCCGGUGCCUCGCAAAGAGGGUGGCCGAUCGGGAUGUUGUGCUCCAAACCGUCUUCGGACAAUCUCUGGCGACUUGACCUCAAAUCGAGUAAGACUACCCGCUGAACUUAAGCAUAUCAAUAAGCGGAGGA